Molecule: ribosomal RNA, 670 nt
Filed under: uncultured Enterobacter sp.
Lineage: Bacteria; Pseudomonadati; Pseudomonadota; Gammaproteobacteria; Enterobacterales; Enterobacteriaceae
Description: bacterial SSU rRNA
Rfam family: Bacterial small subunit ribosomal RNA
Source: RNAcentral
UCUCGGGUGACGAGUGGCGGACGGGUGAGUAAUGUCUGGGAAACUGCCUGAUGGAGGGGGAUAACUACUGGAAACGGUAGCUAAUACCGCAUAACGUCGCAAGACCAAAGAGGGGGACCUUCGGGCCUCUUGCCAUCAGAUGUGCCCAGAUGGGAUUAGCUAGUAGGUGGGGUAACGGCUCACCUAGGCGACGAUCCCUAGCUGGUCUGAGAGGAUGACCAGCCACACUGGAACUGAGACACGGUCCAGACUCCUACGGGAGGCAGCAGUGGGGAAUAUUGCACAAUGGGCGCAAGCCUGAUGCAGCCAUGCCGCGUGUACGAAGAAGGCCUUCGGGUUGUAAAGUACUUUCAGCGGGGAGGAAGGCGAUAAGGUUAAUAACCUUGUCGAUUGACGUUACCCGCAGAAGAAGCACCGGCUAACUCCGUGCCAGCAGCCGCGGUAAUACGGAGGGUGCAAGCGUUAAUCGGAAUUACUGGGCGUAAAGCGCACGCAGGCGGUCUGUCAAGUCGGAUGUGAAAUCCCCGGGCUCAACCUGGGAACUGCAUUCGAAACUGGCAGGCUGGAGUCUUGUAGAGGGGGGUAGAAUUCCAGGUGUAGCGGUGAAAUGCGUAGAGAUCUGGAGGAAUACCGGUGGCGAAGGCGGCCCCCUGGACAAAGACUGACGCUC